GGGCCCCAAGUCAGGCGAGCGCCACUUG
RNAcentral lists this ribosomal RNA (28 nucleotides) under Zingiber zerumbet (bitter ginger). RNAcentral's name for it is "partial 28S ribosomal RNA". The record is from RNAcentral. Lineage: Eukaryota; Viridiplantae; Streptophyta; Magnoliopsida; Zingiberales; Zingiberaceae.